GAUGAACGCUGGCGGCGUGCCUAAUACAUGCAAGUCGAGCGAACAGACGAGGAGCUUGCUCCUCUGACGUUAGCGGCGGACGGGUGAGUAACACGUGGAUAACCUACCUAUAAGACUGGGAUAACUUCGGGAAACCGGAGCUAAUACCGGAUAAUAUAUUGAACCGCAUGGUUCAAUAGUGAAAGACGGUUUUGCUGUCACUUAUAGAUGGAUCCGCGCCGCAUUAGCUAGUUGGUAAGGUAACGGCUUACCAAGGCGACGAUGCGUAGCCGACCUGAGAGGGUGAUCGGCCACACUGGAACUGAGACACGGUCCAGACUCCUACGGGAGGCAGCAGUAGGGAAUCUUCCGCAAUGGGCGAAUGCCUGACGGAGCAACGCCGCGUGAGUGAUGAAGGUCUUCUGAUCGUAAAACUCUGUUAUUAGGGAAGAACAAAUGUGUAAGUAACUAUGCACGUCUUGACGGUACCUAAUCAGAAAGCCACGGCUAACUACGUG
RNAcentral lists this ribosomal RNA (497 nucleotides) under uncultured bacterium. RNAcentral's name for it is "partial 16S ribosomal RNA". It matches the Rfam family "Bacterial small subunit ribosomal RNA", at positions 28 to 507 of the family's 1533-position model. The record is from RNAcentral.